RNAcentral lists this ribosomal RNA (445 nucleotides) under uncultured bacterium. Its description in RNAcentral is "partial 16S ribosomal RNA". It matches the Rfam family "Bacterial small subunit ribosomal RNA", at positions 354 to 796 of the family's 1533-position model. The record is from RNAcentral.
GUAAGGAAUAUUGGACAAUGGACGCAAGUCUGAUCCAGCCAUGCCGCGUGAAGGAUUAAGGUCCUCUGGAUUGUAAACUUCUUUUAUAAGGGACGAAAAAAGGCUUUUCUAAGUCGUCUGACGGUACCUUAUGAAUAAGCACCGGCUAACUCCGUGCCAGCAGCCGCGGUAAUACGGAGGGUGCAAGCGUUAUCCGGAUUCACUGGGUUUAAAGGGUGCGUAGGCGGGCAGGUAAGUCAGUGGUGAAAUCCUAGAGCUUAACUCUAGAACUGCCAUUGAUACUAUCUGUCUUGAAUAUUGUGGAGGUAAGCGGAAUAUGUCAUGUAGCGGUAAAAUGCUUAGAUAUGACAUAGAACACCUAUUGCGAAGGCAGCUUACUACGCAUAUAUUGACGCUGAGGCACGAAAGCGUGGGGAUCAAACAGGAUUAGAUACCCGGGUAGUCC